UACGUAUGGGGCAAGCGUUGUUCGGAGUUAUUGGGCGUAAAGGGCGUGUAGGCGGCCCGACAAGUCUGGUGUGAAAUCGCAGGGCUCAACCCUGCGGGUGCGCUGGAAACUGUGGGGCUGGAGUCCCGGGGGGGAAGCUGGAAUUCCUGGUGUAGGAGUGAAAUCUGUAGAGAUCAGGAAGAACACCGGUGGCGAAGGCGAGCUUCUAUUCGAGGACUGACGCUGAGGCGCGAAAGCGUGGGGAGCAAACAGG
Molecule: ribosomal RNA, 253 nt
Filed under: uncultured bacterium
Lineage: Bacteria
Description: partial 16S ribosomal RNA
Rfam family: Bacterial small subunit ribosomal RNA
Source: RNAcentral